AUCUUAGGAUAGCCAGUUCCCAACACAGUGCCUGCUGCAAAUUAUCAGUAAUAACAAUAAGUCUUUGUCACGUGAUGAGUUACCUUUCGGUCUCUCUGCAGUCUCUUUCCUCCCAGUGCCCCUUGGCUGCCCCGAAGCCCUGACCCCUGACCUCCUGCCCCUUCUGUCUCCAGGGCCGUUAACUCCCCUGCUGGUCCCUAUCCAUGGAGCCCAUUGACAGAUGAGUUUGGUUCUGGACCUGAGGAGGACAGUUACAGACACAGAUAUCUUUUAAGAUCCUGAACUCUCCUCUCUACACCAUCGCAUCUCAGUGGAACCAUGAGCCUCAAGACCUGAGUUCAAGUUCGUCCUCUGCCACUUACUAAUGUGAUCUCGGCAAGUCACGUAUUCUCCCUGGAGCUCAUUUUCCACAUCUGUAAAGUGGGGAUUAAAAA
Molecule: long non-coding RNA, 434 nt
Organism: Pongo pygmaeus (Bornean orangutan)
Lineage: Eukaryota; Metazoa; Chordata; Mammalia; Primates; Hominidae
Exons: 2
Source: RefSeq, a predicted model, not a curated record